GUUUGAUCAUGGCUCAGAUUGAACGCUGGCGGCAGGCCUAACACAUGCAAGUCGAGCGGCAGCGGGGAGUAGCUUGCUACUCUGCCGGCGAGCGGCGGACGGGUGAGUAAAGUCUGGGGAUCUGGCUUAUGGAGGGGGAUAACCAUUGGAAACGGUGGCUAAUACCGCAUGAUGUCGCAAGACCAAAGUGGGGGACUUUAGGGCCUCACGCCAUAAGAUGAACCCAGAUGAGAUUAGCUAGUAGGUGCGGUAAUGGCGUACCUAGGCGACGAUCUCUAGCUGGUCUGAGAGGAUGACCAGCCACACUGGAACUGAGAAACGGUCCAGACUCCUACGGGAGGCAGCAGUGGGGAAUAUUGCACAAUGGGCGGAAGCCUGAUGCAGCCAUGCCGCGUGUGUGAAGAAGGCCUUAGGGUUGUAAAGCACUU
Molecule: ribosomal RNA, 428 nt
Filed under: Candidatus Regiella insecticola
Lineage: Bacteria; Pseudomonadati; Pseudomonadota; Gammaproteobacteria; Enterobacterales; Enterobacteriaceae
Description: bacterial SSU rRNA
Rfam family: Bacterial small subunit ribosomal RNA
Source: RNAcentral